GCUCCGUUUCGCUUCAGGUCACCUGCCAGCAGUCAGCCGGGGGGGUCGGGGGGUGGGGGGGGGAGGUCUGCACAUUAACAGAACGCUCCUCAUGUAACCCAGUUCAGUGACAGUGCUGCACCUUCUCCCAGACUCAUCCAUUUGCUGUUAUCUCAUACGGAGGGUUUUGGAACACGAUGUUAAAAGUGCGUAUGCCGUUAUCUCCACAGUAAAUGCGCAUGGACGUGUGCAUGCGUUCGCUGCUGCACAUGCAUGCACGCAUGCAUGCACACGCGCAUGGUCCAGACGAGUUUCCACAACAUUAUAAAAUUGCGCAUGUGCUGCAUUGAUGCUGGCAGGCUGCGCGCUCAGAUCUUUGUAAAAUAAGAAUAGUGAUAAGGAUAUAAUCACUAUUGCACACGCACGCGCAUGCACACUUACACGUACAUACUCACACACAUGCGCGUGCACACACACAGACCCACACACACACAAAGACGCACACACACACGCACACACAUGCGCGCGCACACACACUCACGCGCACACACACACACACAUGCGUGCACUCACGCACACGGUUUCACAAGUUUUGGUGAAAUGUUUAUAGGUCAAGCUUGGAGAGAGCCAAGCAUCUGCCAGAAGCAAUAAAUAAAAUUGUAUUUCUACUGUUUAUAUUUAUAAUGAUAAUGUGUAUGGAGGCAUGUCCUCAGGGUGCUGUGUAUAGGUGAACUACCGAUGUUAAAAAAAAAAAAGAAGAGAAAAAGCAACUCAUGAGGUUUGGAAGGUGACUACCACAGCAGCAACUUGCCGUUUGCUUCUGGCUUGGUUACCAGAGGCUUGCUCUUGCGCGCAGCAGUGGGUGGAUAUCAAUAGACCAUGGUCUUAUACUGCAGCGAGCUUGAAGUGCUAUGUCUGUGAAUCUCCUGGUCUCGGAAAUGCCUUCAGUUUGGGUUUGAGUGUGCUGCAGAUCUCAGUCGAGCUGGCUGACCAGAUCAUGGCCAGAAACUGGAAGCUUGUGAUAACAAUUUAACGAUUUGAUUCAAUAGGUCAGACUUCUAUACUUUCCUUUUUUUUUUUCUUUUUUUUUUUGAGUGUUAUAAAUUGUUAAAGAGGAGCGGUUGCAUUUUUGUGCGGUGAUUUGCAUUGUUGCCAAGAUGCCGUAUGUAAAUGAGGUGUCGUCGGUGGGGUUUGUGUGUUGUUUAGCAUUCUGAUGAGGUGGCGGGCGCUCCGGGAGAGGAGAGGGGUGCUGGGGCGCCACGCGGUGCCUCAUUAGCAGGGGGAGUUCAGGUGGGGUGAAGGGUUGUCGUUUGUCGUGAUUUAGCCCAGGUGAAGUAGGCUAAAGGAGGGGGGGGCGCUCGCUUCCUGUAUCGCCCGCCUCACUGGUGACCCGGCCAGGCGGUGGUGUAAUGAUCAGGGGAAUGUUCAGUGUCCGUGUCGCCCCUGUCCCCUGCCUGCGUGUGCGUGCGUGCCAUCCCAAAUGCCUUCAGUCCCCAGCUUUAACAAACUCCUCUCACCCGCACGUUUCUCAGUGCAUUUCAAGGACAAAUACUGUGCUGCCAAGAGGCCGUCGCGCUCGGGGAAGUUGGCCGUGCACAAAAAUACCAGUCGUGUUCAGAAACAGAUCUGAUCGUGUUCAGAUGGCUGACUGGAGAACUGACGGUUCUGGCCCACCCACCUCUCUUUAAAAAAAAAAAGAACAAAAAAAAAAAAACAGCCAUUUUUUUCAAGGAGUUGUAAUUUCAACCUCAGGUGGUCAGAGGCGAUGCGGAAGGUCUAAUCUCUCCUGCUCGGGACCGUGCCGCUGCCCGUUCGCCCAAACCAGCGUGCCCGCGGUGGCACCCUGCGUCUGACCCCAGAGACUUUGCCCAAACCAGCGUGCCCGCGGUGCGCCCAAACCAGCGUGCCCACGGUGGCACCCUGCGUCUAACCCCAGAGACUUCGCCCAAACCAGCGUGCCCAGACUUCGCCCAAACCAGUGUGCCCGUGGUGCGCCCAAACCAGCGUGCCCACGGUGGCACCCUGCAUCUAACCCCAGAGACUGCUCCCCAACCAGCGUGCCCACGGUGCGCCCAAACCAGCGUGCACAUGGUGGCACCCUGCGUCUGACCCCAGAGACCAGCGCCUGAAGCUCAGUGGAGGCUACCUGCCGCGCACGCUCCACCGCCAACCAGCCAAACAGGCGGGAGUGUUUUUUUUAAAAAAACGCCUCUUUUUGGCCAGAUGUUUUUUUUCUUUUCUUAAAACGACGACGGCGAACUUGACUUUAACAAGCGAACAUUUCGUGCAGAUUAUUGCAAUAACGAUAUAACGACGCGUUACAAACGAGACUAACUGAACUAAGUCUGAAAAAAGCCCCCCCCCCCCCCCCCCCCGGGGAUCGAUCCUGUUGGAGGGUGCCUGCGGGCGAGUGUCUCAUCUACAUUUCACUCAUCGCUGCUGCUCAUCGUUGGAGCAGCAUAUCAACUCGUCUCUGGUGUCCUUUUGAACCCUGCCUCUCGACGCAGCAUGCUAAUGGCUCGAACCCGUUCGGUUCUCCCGCAGAUUUGACCCUCGAGGCUGCGGGUCAUGUGACCUACUCAGCGUGUGUGUGUAGCACCUCUUGUUGGCUUUGGAGAGGAGUCCAUUGCCCCCCCUGGCUUUGGGGGAUUUCACACUCCCCCCCCAUCGCUCUCAUCUCAUGAUCCCUCAGUCUGCUCGUGUCAAGAAGGGAUUUUUAACGCCCCUGUAGUGGAGGGUGUGCGUCCCUGUACUUACCAGCCAACCCAACCCCGCAGCUGUGCAUUGAGUGGAGUUGCU
Anguilla rostrata (American eel) is the source of this 2778-nucleotide long non-coding RNA. RefSeq lists it as uncharacterized. Lineage: Eukaryota; Metazoa; Chordata; Actinopteri; Anguilliformes; Anguillidae. The record is from RefSeq and is a predicted model, not a curated record. The transcript has 2 exons.